RNAcentral lists this ribosomal RNA (272 nucleotides) under Acanthamoeba sp. VJM-2014. RNAcentral describes it as "partial 18S ribosomal RNA". It matches the Rfam family "Eukaryotic small subunit ribosomal RNA", at positions 866 to 1096 of the family's 1831-position model. Lineage: Eukaryota; Discosea; Longamoebia; Acanthamoebidae. The record is from RNAcentral.
UGAUUAAUAGGGAUAGUUGGGGGCAUUAAUAUUUAAUUGUCAGAGGUGAAAUUCUUGGAUUUAUGAAAGAUUAACUUCUGCGAAAGCGUUUGCCAAGGAUGUUUUCAUUAAUCAAGAACGAAAGUUAGGGGAUCGAAGACGAUCAGAUACCGUCGUAGUCUUAACCAUAAACGAUGCCGACCAGCGAUUAGGAGACGUUGAAUACAAAACACCGCUGUUAGUCCUUUCGGGGAUUAAUAGUUGGUGAAUGACCCCCUAGCCGCUUGUGAGAA